Nicotiana tabacum (common tobacco) is the source of this 668-nucleotide non-coding RNA. NCBI's taxonomy places the organism in Eukaryota, Viridiplantae, Streptophyta, Magnoliopsida, Solanales, Solanaceae. The record is from RefSeq and is a predicted model, not a curated record.
CUGAAAAUCCGAGACAUUUCAACAGCCCAAACCCGACAGAGCUAACAGAACAAAGAGGCGAACAGAAAGAGAAGCGAAUCGGAGGGAAUUCAAUCGGGAGAAAAUGGAGGUGCCAGGAUCGUCGAAGAAGAUGAUAGCAACGCAAGCAGAGAUGGUGGAAGCGAAAGUACCAUUAUCAUACAGGGAUCAGUGCGCCCAUCUGUUGAUCCCUCUUAACAAGUGCCGUCAGUCGGAGUUCUACUUACCCUGGAAGUGCGAGGACGAGCGUCACUCGUACGAGAAGUGCGAGUAUGAGCUUGUCAUGGAACGGAUGCUUCAAAUGCAGAAGAUCCGUCAGCAGCAAAAAGGACAGCAGUCAAUUCCCCUUUUCCCUAAGACUGCCAAUGCCUAGUCAAUCCAUCAUCUAUCUAAUUGGAAGCAGAAAAUACCAAGGCUUUCAGAACACCAGAGCAUUGUCGCUACAACUUGGUGGGCAUUUUCCAUUUAAUACUGACAUCUGUUGAGUGAAAAUUUAUAUAGCGCACACUUUGCACAUCUUACUGGUCCAAUAAUGUUAUUCCGAUUUGAUGAUGUUUCUAUGCCAUCCAAUACCUGUUUCCAGUUGCUCAUAGAACAUGUGAAAAAGAGAUUUAAAUGAAACUGAUAAUACAGCUAUGUUGUCUGUGAAA